GAAAGGGCAAUUCAAGUAGAAUGGAGACGGUGAUGGAAGAAUGCGAGUUCAAAUAUAGCUUUGCACGAGAGGACCACCAAGUGAAAACAUGUUACUCAAAUGCUUGCUCAUCUGAUUAGGAUAUCUGUAUUUCUAUCGCUUGAGUCUCUGGACCACUUACGUUUACCCUGCUGUAGAUGGGGUUUUGGUCAAACAGAUUUCUGUGAUACUGAUAUUGUUCAAGCAAUGACUUGGAUCCGUUUCUUGCAUAGCUUUGUUAAGUUGCCGCAUUUAAGUUAAACUUUGAUUGCGCUGUUUCUCAAUAAAAGAGAACCGGAAGCCUCACAGGUACUGGUUGAUUUUUUUC
This is a non-coding RNA of Elaeis guineensis (African oil palm), 346 nucleotides long. The record is from RefSeq and is a predicted model, not a curated record. Lineage: Eukaryota; Viridiplantae; Streptophyta; Magnoliopsida; Arecales; Arecaceae.